Molecule: long non-coding RNA, 35343 nt
Filed under: Fragaria vesca (wild strawberry)
Lineage: Eukaryota; Viridiplantae; Streptophyta; Magnoliopsida; Rosales; Rosaceae
Source: RNAcentral
UUCCUCUUCCUCGGCCUCGAUCUCGAUACAGGCUACGGCGCCACCACCCCCACCGCUGAGGGCGUCGAGGUUUGUUUCUCUUCCCGCUCGUAAUUUAUGAUCUGAAUCUGAUUAUCGGAGAUUGAUAAAUGUAUACCGGCAUUGAGCAGAUCACAUACGACAGUGUGCUGAAGCUUAUGCACGAGAGGACCAAGUUUCGGCUGCACUCCCACGACAUGUCGUAUGGCUCUGGCAGUGGCCAGCAGUCUGUCACUGCGUUUCCAAAUGUCGACGAUGCUAACAGCUACUGGGUACGGUAUUCGCUACAGUUUGUUCAAUUUACGUAUCAUGCUUUUCGAUUGGUCAAUAAGUGAUUAUUGGGUAAUUACUGGGUUUCAGUAACUGAAAACUAAGUGAUUACUGAGUGUCAGUAACUGAAAACUAAGUGAUUACUAGGUGUCAGUAACUAGUUAUUGGGUGUCAAUAAUUUAUCAAUAACUGGUUACUUAGGUUAGUAACUGGUUAUUAUGGGUCAUUAACUGGUCAGUAACUGGUUAUUGGGGGUCAGUAACUGGUUACAGGGGAAAAUCCGGUGACCGGAAUCCGGCGGUCGGGGAAAUUCCGGUGACCAGAGUCCGGCAGUCUGGAAAAUUCCGGUGACCGGAGUCUGACGGCCGGUGACCGAAGUCCGAGGUUCCGGCCAAGUCUUUUCAUGUUGAAGAAGUGGGGGCAAAAUAGUCUUAAAUAAUAUGAUUUGUUAAGACUUUAGUAAAUAUUUGUGCAUUUGGGCAUAAAAAUGGUUACCUUAUAUUGGAAUGGGCUAAUGCAAAAGAUUAUCAUUGGAAUGGGAAAUAAAGGGUUUGAAUUAGUACUAAAUAUACAUUUUUCCUUUUAUUAACUUGUUCACGAUUAGAAGACGCUUACAUCAAUUAAUUUGCCUACUUACGACCAAAAAGUCUAGUUGGCAACAAGCAAUAAUAAAGUGAUAGGUAACUCUCAUUACAAAUGCGCUCAGUUAAGCCUAUCACAUCUAACUUACAACUAUUCCUAUCUAAAUUUCAUGUAGCGGUCAUACCCGUCGCAUGCGGACCUCAAUUGGUGUACAACAAAGUAGAACCAAAAUUUAAACAAAAAUAGUCUUCCAUCAGAUGUCUAGGUAGGGAACAAGGAAAAUAACCUCCUUGCCCUUAAUGUUAGGGCUCGCCAACCCCUAUCAAACAUUGAAAUGGGUGGAAAACCCCUAGAAUCCCUGAAGGGCAAGAAAGGGUUAAGGCCCAAAUGACAAGCUCUAACCCAUCUGGAAGCCCAAACAACUUCAAAAAAUGGGCCCAACCUAAGCCCGACAGAAGAUGAUCCGUGAUCUGAUCUGCCUCCACCACUACCUGCCUCCAUAACCGCCAUGCUGUAAGCAAACCCACAGCCACGCCAAGCCUCCACAAAGCGUUGCGGAUCUUCUCGGCCACACCACACCAAAAGUCUACCAAAGUUCUAAAAAACGGUCUGGGCGGCCGCCUAGGCGGCACCUUGACGCUCGCCGACGGUAGCCCAUUCUGAUUUCAAGGUAGUCGUCCAUAUUAGUCGACUGGCAGAAAAUCGGGCGGUUAGGCGGGCUCUGGGCAGCUCGGCGACUAGAUUUUGUUAUGGAAUUUGACACAAUCUGUAUGAUUUUUCUGGACGAGUGAAACAGAAGAUGAUAAUUGUUCGAUGAGAUGAUGAGAGAGACUAGAGAUGCAAAAGUGGCCUGGUAGUUUUUAUCGAGGUAGCAGUAUUUUUGUUGACCACCAACAGUAUUGGCCUAAAAGGUUUGAUCAAAGUCAGACCACUAAUCCACUAUAGCUCAUUAUUAUUUGUUUUUCUAAGGACAAGGUCUAGGAUAUAGUUCAUUAGGUGAUUAAAAAUUAUUUAACAUUAUAUUAAAUGACUAUUUAAAUAAGUAAUUGCUUGUUAUAAUAAUUAUAAGAUUAUUUAUAUAAUUAUUUAUUAUUAAAAAAUAAAAUAAAUACAAAAAUACAAAUUCGAUUAAUCCCCGAUUAAUCUUUUGGGCGUUGUUCGCCCAACUAGCGUCCAGCGUUUUUUAGAACCUUGGAGUCUACCAUGCACGCACAGUCCGCGACCCAAAACAACCAUGCCACCGACAAGAAGAUGAAAGCCUAUGCUGACCCCCGCCACCGCAACUCUCAAACAGCAAGGACGAGCAUCCCAAAAACCUGCACAAACCAGCAGAUCUCGAAUAUCUCCGUCUAUCCUCGAGCCGAACCACAUACAAGAGACUAAAACAGCAUAAGGAAUUCUCGUCCGGCAGCGAAACUCAAUGAGAUUAGACCUUGAGGCUAGCCAAGAUGAGGCUGCCGCCGGACGAGAGGGAGUUCGUGGGUUUGUUGGGGUUCGCAAGGGUUUUUGUUUUUUAGGUAAACGAUGUGUUUUUAAAUCUCUAUGACUUUUUUUCUUCUUAUUUUGAGGAGAGAGAAUGAUAUUUUAAAGGCAAGUAAUAAAUUUUAGAGAUUUCUACAAUAAUAUACAAAUUUUGAGAAUUCUAUAGAUAUGGAUGAUCUUUUUCUCUCUCUUCUCACUUUUUUGUAUUAUAGAGAUCAUUUACAUGAGCUGUUAGAGCCAAAAAAAAAAGAAGGAUUAAUUUCAGUUUACCCCCCUGAGGUUUGGGGUUGAUAUCGUUUCACCCCCCGUACUUUUAAUUUUGAAAAUUUACCCCCUAAAGUUUCCAAUUUUCAUAAAUCAAGCCCAAUUGCUAAAAUUCCGUCCAAUUUGGAGGUUAAAUGCUAGCAUGAAAUCUUAGAAAAAAGGGUCCUAAAAGGCGAUUUAUUUUGUGUUAUGACUAUUUUAGCACUUUUAGUGAGUUAUGAAGUUAAAAUUAACGUCUGAAUUAGAUGGAAUUUAGCAAUUGGGCAUGAUUUAUGAAAAUUUAAAACUUUAGGGGGUAAAUUUUCAAAAUUAAAAGUAGGGGGGUGAAACGAUGUCAAUCCCAAACCUCAGGGGGGGGGGGUAAACUGAAAUUAAUCCUUAAAAAAAAAUGUUUUUCCUCUACAAUAGAGAUAGUUUUAGUUUUACAUGAGCUGCUGAAUAUGCCCUAAAAGAACAUAGGAAAUCCUAGAAACCUGACCAACAAGUUGUGUGUUGUUUGUAAGAAAAAUGGCAAAUGUGAUGCAGCUAGGGAAUUUGUGUGGAAAAUGGUGUCUCACAUUUUCAUGUCACAACAAAAGUUUCAUGUCAUUCUGAAAUUAGUAUCUCACAUUUUAGUUAACAUUGACUACAACCACUUAUUUUAGCUGCACUUCAGAUUUUUCACAAAUGUAAAUUAUUCCGGUUUUGACAGCACUUUUUCUCUGUUCAAGUUCAAGUUACAUAAAUUCCUCAAGUAAAACAUAUACACUUGAGAGGUUUCACAAUUUUGGGAAGUAGACAAAGUUAGACUGAGAGUCCCAUCAAAAUUCACAUGUCAGCCAAGUUUCAAAACAGAACAAAGACGAACACUAAAAGCUUAGUUGAAUUUGCUUCGACAUUAAUCACAUUGGCUUUUAUAUCAGUGGAAUCAACUUCUUGCCGGAUGCCGCACAACUUUAAAAAAGCAAUACCAACACCACAAACAUAUAACCAAAACAACAACAAAUUUCAUAAGUAACUUCAAAUAUAUAUUACAGUAUGUGGAGGCUCUACAACAUCAUAUUUCCCCUACGUAACCACCAGAACCAUAUAAAUCCCUCCUAGAGCUGACAAUUCUUUUAUGCUGCUCUAGUUUUGAACAAUCACCGACUCGAUGACCAGGCCCGCCACAAUAAGCACAGCCUUCAACCUCAUCACUUGUAUGUUCCAUUGGAUCAUCCAGCUCAGCCAACAUGGGUGGAAUUCGCUGCUUGGCCUCUUGCAAUAGGUGCUUCAAAUCUAGGAGUGUCGUCUCACUUUGGUUCUUGUUUAUAAACGUUGUUGCAAUUCCAACCUUGCCACAUCUUCCUGUUCUUCCAAUCCGGUGAACAUAGUUUUCGAUUUCUGCAGGCAUGUCAUAAUUAAUGACAUGUUGAAUAUCAGGAAAAUCCAAACCUUUUGAAGCAACAUCAGUUGCCACUAAGACAUCUUUUUUCCCUGACUUGAAGGAAGAAAUGGCAUCCUCUCUCUCUUCAUGAUCCUUCCCUCCAUGAACAGCCACUGCCUGCACUCCCUUCAACAGAAGAUAUUCAUGAAUCUCAUCCACAUCGGCUUUCUUUUCGCAGAAUAUUAGAACAGGAGGCGCAGUCUUUUGCAGACAUUGAAGAAGGUAAAAAGCCUUGGCCUCUUGCUUCACAUAAUCAACCUCUUGAAUCACAUCAAGAUUUGCUGCUCCAGCUCUUCCCACGUUGACAGUCACAGGCUUAACCAAAGCCUUUGUAGCAAAGUUCUGAAUUUUAAUAGGCAUGGUGGCUGAAAAUAGAAGCGUUUGACGUUGAGCUUUAAAAUGGUCGAAAACUUCUCUUAUGUCAUCCUCAAAGCCUAAGUCUAACAAUCUAUCAGCCUCAUCUAAAGUUAGAUAUCUGCAGUUAUCAAGCUUCAUUAUUUUGCUUUUCAGCAUAUCCUUUAACCUUCCCGGAGUUGCGACAACUAUAUGAACACCUUUCCUCACAAUGUCCUGCUGUGACUUCUUAUCCACUCCACCAAUGCACAGCAAAGGCCUUAUCUUUGGUCUUCCGUCCUCUUCCAUAGCAUUCACAAACUCUUGUACCAAUUCGAAAGUCUGCCUUGCUAGCUCUUUCGAUGGGCAUAUAACCAACCCGAAAGGUCCUUCUCCUGGAGCAAUUGGCAUCAGAAUCUCCUCCUGCAAUGCCAUCAUAACCAUUGGCAACACGAAAACCAAUGUCUUGCCGGAACCUGUAAAUGCUAUUCCAAUCAUAUCCCUCCCGGACAAAACCACAGGAAGACCUUGAACCUGAAUGGGGGUCGGUUUCACAAUCCCUUUGGCUUUCAAAACCUUCAAAAUCCGCUCCGGAAAUCUCAUGUCCUUGAAACUCCUAAUUGGAGGAGGAAUGUGUUCCCCAUCAACUUUGAUGUGCCAUUGCUUGCGGAUCACGUCACAUUGCUUUGCAGUUCUCAUUCUAAUCUUUAAUGGGGGCUUCCAACCUGUUGGCAAAGGGUCUGUGUAAGUUAUUCCCUUUGCCAAUUCAUGAACUGACAUUAGUGAUUUGCGAUCGGGGAGCUGCUCAAUCAUCUGCUUUUCUUGUUGCAGCAGCUGCUCUUUUGGAGUAAUCUCCGGAGCAUCACGCUUCAACUGUGACGCUGUUACAAGGAGGCUAGGUAGAUUCGUCCUAUUUUCUUUGGAUUCCUCCACUUUAGAGUCAACCUGCUCAGAGCUGCUUCUUCUCUUCCUCUUAAGAAUCUUCUGCUUUGCAAUCGCUCUCUGCUUCUCAAGAAGCCUCUGCGCUGCAAUCGCUCUCCGCUUUGCCACAGGUACAUACAAGUCGCUUUCUUCUUCCAUUGAUAAACCACGUGGAGGAGUACGUGUUGAAGGAAAAAUUGUAACAAAGAGAACUGAGAAAUAUUAUUAUUGAACAGGGGCACCCUUAUAUAGAGGAGGAUUAUGAUUAUACAAAUAUGACAAUAAUAAUAGGAUAUAAUAGUAAGGAAUCAUAAACCAUCCUUCUAAAGGAAUCCUAAUACAAUUGAGAAAUAUGGGUGAAUAAGGAAUUCUGAACCAUCCUUGUAAACAAAUCCUAAUCCAUUUUAGCUUUUCUUAGUGCUUUCUCUUCCCUGCAUACAUGCACUGUCUUUAGUAAAACCGACCAUGGAAGUCUUACUAUUUUCUUGAACAAUGACGAAGGUAUUCCACUUAUUCAUUCAUCUGAGACCACUUAGCAAACCGAUGGCUUCUGCCUAUUAUGUUGAAUACCUAGGCUAGGCCUCCAAGUAAAAGGUAGGUUAAAAUAAAAAAUUUAACCAUAUCCAUAAAGACAAAUAGACAACUUUGGUUCUGGGUUAAAAACCACAAUACAUAUAGGGUUCGGCUGCUAUACACAUUUGUAUGACAUAUAUCAAGCCGUGAGCCGUCCGAUCGUUUAGCAAUUCAAAAUUCAAGACUAUCGGACGACUCACUGCUUGAUAUAUGCUAUACACAUAUGUAUAGUAGAAAAGUUCAUAUAUAUGAACUCAGAAAAUGUUAAAUAUCAAGAUCCUCUUAGCUACUUUAAAACCACAUUCUGUGAAGUUUGGCCACUUUCAACCCUCUCCAAAAUCAAUCAGCAUAAUGAAUGUACGGGAUCAUUGAAGGUGACCACCAUCAGGAAACUGAUAAUGUAAAUGCCUAUCUUACACCAGAAGCAUAAUGACAUACAGUAAAAUGAACAGAUAUUCAGCUCUGGACAAUCACAAUAUCAUGAAUUCAUCUACAUACACCAGUAGAGACAAAAAAAAUCCAUGUAUUCUACAACUUUGAUUUGAGUAUUAUGCACUACAAAUAUAAACAUCAGCUAUGAGCUAGCAACAAUAAGUAUGCCAGAGCUUGACACACUUAUGGUUGCUAGCUGAAGCUCAAAUGCUCGAUACCACAUCAUCAUCAUUUGAUAGAGAUACUACAAAAAGAAAAAGCGCAAGGCUUAUAGCUGAGUUUAUACUUCUAAACUUCAUGAUCACUGCUGUUGCAAGCUGAAGCUACAAAGCACUCAGUCCCAAGAUAAGGAUCCUUCUACAAAAUAGUACCGGCUAUCAUUGAGAGCAAAAAGCUUAAUGACGCAAUCCACUUAGAGAAAUGGGAAUCAGAAUUACAGAAUGCCUAGAAGCACAGCCCCAAGCAACUAGUAAAACCGCCCAUCUUUUCCAUUGAGCUCGGUAAUCUCACUGUUCUGUAACUCAGAAGUGGAUCCCUGAAAGAACAUUGUCACAUUCCAGGCAUAUAAGACACAAAAAUAUACGAAAAUUGAUGGUAACUCACAGAUGAAGUAUGAAACCUACUCAUAGAACAAAGAAUACCAACAAUAACCAGCAUUUGGCACACACAAUGACAUGCCACAAGGAAGUAAUCAGCAGAAUGCAGUAACAGAAAGCAUAUACAGUGAUAUGUGCAUACAUGAAAGUGAUGAAACACCAAAAGGUAGAAGCCACAGUCCAUAACUAAUAAGAAAAAUAACUAAGAGAAUGAUUAUAUUGCAUCUUUCAUCGGUAAUAGAUACCUUCAUGCAAUCAUCUGUCAUUGGUGAUUCAUGGCUGUCCAAAAAGCCUAUAGCAUCUAUUCUCGGAUAAUGAUGUAGACUGCCAAAACAAGGUAUGUUUGUCUGAGAGUCAUCGGUAAUAUGAUGCAAUUUGAUUUUCCGCUUUGCCUCAAGUAUCACUAUCGUCAUUGGAUACAGAUGAUAGCAUAAUGGCUUCAUGACCGCUUCAUUAUGGACCACUGUUCUUAACUUCUCAAACUUCUGUUCUUUUGUAAGCUUCCACAGCUCUGACCACUUCUUUUCUCCCCAAUCUUCAUAUUCAUAAAUGCAAAUCAACAGAGUUUCUGCUGCAUCUUCAGAAGUUAAUUCCCGAACAACUCCAAAAGUCAUGUGGUUGUCAUUCUGCAAGGCUUUUGGAAGUUCAAUCGUAUCAAAAGUCUCUUUCGAAAGAUCAAAGCUUACCAAGGAGUCUUUAGAUGUAUCACGCCAAUAUAUUCUAGGCUCUAUGGAACAACCAGGCCCAUCAAAGGAAAUGUCCAACUCUGGAAAGGUUAGGUCUCUCCAAGUACCCCUCUUCUGUGAAAAGAUAGCAGCAUGAAUCAACUCCAUUGAGUAAACCUUGAUGAUUUUAUAAUCCUCAUCAAUUGUAUCAUAACCAAAUCCAUAUUCUCCUAUAUCUUCAGUUUCUUCUUCUUCAAUCUUCCAGCACUGUUUUGUAGAAACAUCAAUGACAAGGAGGAUUUUGUGGUGCUUGUCACCUAAGCAUACUCUACUCCGACAAGAUCCUAAAAUGAUAACUGGAAAAUUGAAGGAUUUCAAAUCAUUGACUUGGAACUUUUCUACAAAGAAGUUGCCCUCAGCAUUGAAUCUAAUUGCUGCAACAUGACCCGGGUCUUCAAGGUUCGCAACGAAGAUGCUUGAGACAAACCUUGAUGCCGAUUCUGAUUUGGCCAUCAUGUUCCACUCUUUCGAGACUAGCUUCAUUUCCGUGAGGUGUCUUAGGUUGAAGAAUUUAAAAAUCACCGGCAUCACACAGCAGAUUCUUUGAAUUCCAAGUUGUUCAUUCCCCUACAAUAGGGUAUUCAAAAAAGUAUCAAAAAAGACAAAUCUUCCUGAAGCUAAUAUCCGUUUAUCACAUUUGCAAGAACAGAAUGCAAGACAAGUUAUUUUCAUGGAUGCUGUGUUGUUCAAUCACUUGAAGGGGUUUCUGCUAGGUCUUCAUAAUUCUCAGACACACUGAACAGUGACUAGUUCUACUGCACCAGGUAUCUAGCUACAUUAUAAUACAAUAUUUUUCCCACAAAUCAUGCAAACAAGAGUACUAAGUUAUUAAUUCUGACAAAAUCAUACAGUGUCAAACUGGAUUAUACAAAAGAAAAAGAAACAUUGAUGCAUAAAUGAUUCAACAACAGAAGUUCUCAGAAUCAGUACUCACAUUACUGUCAGCACCUCCAUUCUUCUUCAACUGUUGUUGGCAAUCACAAAAUUCAUCAUCGACAACGUUCUCCAAAUCAUUUUGGCUUCCACCAAAUAAAUCUUCAUCAUAAUCAGCACUUGGGACAACCUUCUUCAACUCAUUUUGGCUUCCACCAAAGAAAUCUUCAUCAGAAUCAGCACACAGACAGUUGUCUUUACCCACAAUGACAUAGUUCUCAGAAUCACUACCCACAGAAGUGACAUCACUCAUAAGGACAUAGCUACUGUCAGAAUCCGAAUCCCCACCAGCCAUGAUUAAACUCCUCAGAAGUCUCCACUUAUCUGAAAUGAACAAAUUGGUAUCACAUUUCACACUAUAGCAAGCCAACUUAAUUUCCCCAAAUUCUAUGCACUACAACAUGAUUCAACUUUCAACCUAUCUCAGAAAUUUUCUUCCAAAUAAGGAAACUUUCUUCACUAAGCCAUAUAUAUUCACCACACACACACACACACACACACAAAAUUAACAAAAAAAAAUUAAAAGAAAAAAAAAUAAAAACCUAAUCUUCAACCAUGAUUACUUGGCACAAAAGAAACCCACCGCAAUAAAGGAACAACCAAAUCAAAACCCAACUAAAUCACCAAAAAGAAUAUUCAAUUUUACCUACAGAAAAGGAAAAUGAACAUUAACUUGAAUUUUACAUAAGUAAACAGGGGAUUACCAAAAAGGGAAAAUCAUAUAACUAACACAGAAUUCCUAGAUUGAUUUCGAAAUUCGAAUUCACACCUCAAGACUUAAUCUUUGACUUUGUGAGAAACAAAAUUACAGAGCAAACAGAGGCGACUAAAAGUAAAAAUGAUCAAACGAUUCUCGCCUAACAGAAACCCUAAAAGACUCGAAAUUGAAGAAUUGAAAACCUAAAGAUUCGACAAAACCCCCAAAUGUAAAGACCGUAAAGAACUCAGGUUUCCGGCGGAAAAUGACACUAGGACUGAAACGAAAGGAAGGCCGGAGAAGCGUACCUCGGUAUCGGCGGAGAGCGGCGGUCGGAAAAUGGGAGAGAGAAUCGGAAGAGAGAGAGAGAGAGCGGGAAGUGAAGAGGGAGAGAGCACUUGAAGUGUUAAGGUGGGUCGCAGCAGAGUCGUCUUCUGGUCAAACCAAGUAGCAAUGUAGCAUGUGGAUUAAUAUAUGUAGCAUGUGGAUUAUGCUUCCCUAAAUUUGUGGGAGAAAGUUUAUUUUUAUUUAUUUUUUGAUACAUUAUAUUUUUUGAAUAUAUUUUUUUUAGAUUGAAAUAGUUGCAUAUAAAAACAAAAUGAGAUAAUUACAAUUGAUAUAAGUACAUCGAAUUCACUAUUGUGGUUAAUCAUCUACCCAAAAAGUAAAAUACAGAAAACAAAAACUCGAUUCUAACUAAAUAUGUGUUACAUGAUACCAGAUGAGCAUUAUGUACAUAUAAGUAAAUGAAGAGAAUUAGCAUUGCAAAAAAAAAAGGUACUCAGCUUCUUGUCUCAAUGCACUUUCACCGACACAAGGAUGCACAGAUUAACCACGACUUGAAUAGCAAACAGUGACAUCAAUCGAGCUUGAGUAGCCAACAGCAAAAUGUGUACUCGAUUAUGUAAUCACACAAAGGACACAUCUUUGAAACUACGACCACGUCAAAAGCGGUAGCAAAAGAAAACCACUCCUUUGAUCAGGUCAUGUUUGGUUCAUGGAUCAAGCCAUUGGGAAAGAAAAGUCAUUACUUUCUAUUGUUUGGAAACCAAAAGGAAAAGAGUGGAAAAAAGUGGAAAAGGAAAAUGGUUCUCACAUAAAAUGAAAAUUGGGUGGAAAAUGGUUCUCUUCCUCCACCCCAAGGAUUCAUUUUCAUUUCUCUUGUCAAAGGAAAAUUCAAAGAUUUCAUUUUCUUUCUUUUACAUUCCUCGAACCAAACUAGGCUUAAAGGGAUCCGAACAGAGUCAACUGUACAACCGCAAUAUACUAACCGUUUAGUUGAAAUAACACAAACAGUGGUGGUCUCGUUAAAUCUUUGUUCAGAGUAUCUUUUUUUUUUUUUGAUACAUUUUUGUGGGAGAACAGUUUUUGUGAUUUACUAAUUAUGAACACUAAACACUAAUGAUUCAUGAUUUCAAUUCGUCCAUUGAUUUGAUCUUAUUCGGUACCCAAACAAUAAUGAAUUUGGUUGAAAAUUUACCCAUAUAACUCCUUCUAAGUCAAGCUAACAAACACAUUUUGUUCCACAACAUGAAACUAUAUCAGUGUGCCAUUCUGCUUCGAUUGAAUGAUUAAUUUCAUAUUGAUUUGGUAACAAGCGGAUGAACUCUAAUCAUCUAGCGAGCCUCUAGAAACAUUGUGCUGCAAUUAUUUGUUGAAUACAAGUCGCUGGUUGUUGAUGUUGAUUCGGUGACCGGCACAGUUCGUUCAGUGUAAAAACCAGGCUGCUUUGGUGAAGGCAACUGAACUUCACUGCCCAACAUUAGAACCACAGAUGACAUGCUUGGUCUAUCUUCAGGUACAUGUUGCACACAUAGCAAGCCCACAUGAAGACACCUUAUUAACACUACGGUUCUGUUGCAAGAAUCACGUAACGUCACAUCAACCAGUUCCAGAGGAUUAUUUUGAGUCCAUAAUGUCCAUGCCUUGAAACAAAUUGAAGCAUAUGUCAGUGAGGAUGGAUUGCAUGUUUCUAUGCUCCUAUCAAAUAAGAAAAUGGACAUUUUUCUAUGGUAAGGGUGCUUAUAGGAUUGCAUAAUGGAAGUAAAAUAAUAUACUCACAUGUCCAAGAAGGUUAAGAUGAUGAUCUGGAUGACAAAACCCCCUGUUCUUUUUCCUGCUCAGUAUCUCUAGCAGUACAACUCCAAAGCUAAAUACAUCAGAUUUCAUUGAGAAAGUCCCAUCUACUGCAUACUCAGGAGCCAUAUAACCACUAUGAAACAAAAUCGCAGUUAGAAAGAAUUUCAGAAACAGAAUUGUAUAAGUUUACCAUGUCUAGCAAACUUACUAUGUUCCAACCACUCUUUUUGUACUGUCUUCACUUUGGUCACCCCCAAAUGUUUUAGCCAGGCCGAAGUCUGAUAUCUUUGGGUUCAUAUCAUUGUCCAGCAAGAUAUUGCUAGACUUGAAAUCUCUAUGAAUGAUUCUCAAUCUAGAGUCUUGAUGGAGAUAAAGAAGCCCUCGAGCAAUUCCCUCAAUAAUAUGGAAGCACGUCGGCCAGUCAAGCAACUUCCGUCUUUCUUCGUCUGAACAAGUUAUUAAGCAUGUUUAUUCCACAUUGAAUCGUUAGGAGUGAAAGAUGGCACAACUGAAAAGGCAUGUCUGAGUUUUAGAGAGAUUCCUACCAAAUAUAUAGAAGUCCAAGCUUCUGUUAGGCAUGUAUUCAUAUACUAGAAUUUCUUCAUCUUCUUGAAUGCAACAACCAAGAAGCUUUACAAGAUUGCGAUGCUGAAGUUUGGCUAUCAGUAGAACUUCAUUUUUAAACUCUCUCAAUCCCUGUCCAGAGUUCUUUGAGAGCCUCUUUACAGCAAUUUCCUCUCCUCCAUCCAAAGUUCCCUAUAUGGAUAACCAUUCAGAAAAGUCCAUAAAUGUUGAUAUCACAAAAUAGCUCGUUUUGGUUGCCCUAACUUAUGUUACCUUACCUUGUACACAGGUCCAAAACCACCCUCACCCAGCUUGUUGCUGCUUGAAAAAUUGUUAGUGGCAUUAGCAAUAGUGGUCAAGUCAAAUAGUGGUAACUCCAAGUCUUCCCUGCCUUCUCCAUUGUAAUCCUCCUUUCUGCAAUCGAGCUUUCUUCUAGCUCCUGAAAGACUAAAUCACUUCAGCACAAACUAAUAGAUGUAGACUUGGACUAAUGAAUUUAAAUACUAACCACCUUAUGUAAAUGCAUUUUUCAAAGUCAGAGUACUUGGAUUUGGGAUUUUGAAUUGUUUGUUUUUAAACAAUUAGAGCCAAUGUAAGGAAUUUACCUUGAUUUCUGAGUUUUCUCUUCCGUUUAUACAAAAUGAACCCAACUAUUAGCAUUCCAACAAGAAAACCAGAUAAGCCUAUCAAAAUUCCUGCUAGCUUUUUCUUGCUGAACUUGCUCUUUUUCACAAUAGGAUCUGAAAUAUCAAAACAAAAUGUUCAUGUCAUUCUGAGAGGAGUAUCUCACAUUUCGGUUAACUGUGACUACAACACCUAUUUCACCUGCACUUGCUACAGAUUUUUCAUAAUGUAAAUAUUCCAAUUUUGACAGCACUUUUUCUCAGUUCAAGUUCAAGUUACAUAACUCCCUCAAAGUAAAACAUAAAGACUUGAGAGGUUUCACAAUUUUGGGAAUUAGCCAAAGUUAGACUGAGAUUCCUAUCAAAAUUCACAUUUCAGCCAAGUUUCUAAACAGAACACUAGAAAAACACUAAAACACUAAAAGUUUAGUCAGUAAUUUUCUGAAGAAAACAAAACACUAGAGUAGGCCAUUUUCUAUCUUGCUGGCCUGAAGCAGCCAGAUAAAAGAGAGAUCAGAUAUAAGUGUAAGAAGCUGAUAGAGAGAUCAGAUAACAGUCCAAAAGCCUACCUAGGUCAGAAGCAGCCAGCCGUAUAUACAGGUCUUGAGAAUCAGAGGUGAACUCUCUAAUGUCAUUGAGGUUCCCAAACCAAAGCAAGCAGCCACUUCCGCCUUCCCUGACAUCUAAAUUAGCAUAUGCAGAACAUGAACAGUUUCCCGAACAUAUUCCCUGGCACUCCUUGAGGCUCAUUCUCUUGUCAUACCACGAAGAAGAUGUGUCUGGCAGUUUAAAGUUGCUGUACUUUACAAAGCCAUCUGUAGAGCUGCAAGCUAAUGGAGUCUCACGAACACAUCCCUCGGACCAAUUCGUUGUGUUCCAAUCAUUUGGAGAUUUUGGCACAUACCCUUUCAAGCAUGAACAUACAGGAGUGUUACUGACAUUACAUCUAGCAUUAGCGCCACAAAAGGCAUAAUUUUCACACUGAUCUGCUUGAGUUGACAAGAACGGUUCCCAACUAGUUGAGUGAUCUGUCCAGGUAAACCACUGUGCAAUGCCAUAAGGGUUCAAUACAUAUCUCGCAAAUGUUGACUUGUUGACGAGUGUGUACUCAUAAUAGACCUCAUCCUUAGUCAUCACAAAUUCAAAAACCGCUACUGGAUUUGGCCUUCCUUGAUAUCCAGUUAAUUCAACACCGUUCCAUGUCCCUGCCCUAGUCAGUGUCUUAGCUCCCUUCAUGAUAAAAAUCUGGGGGAAACCAUGAGUGUCCAUUCGUAGUGAAAACUCUCCUUGAGCAGGAUCUUCUGUGCUCCUCCAGGACGAAAUAUACCUAUCUAAGCCAGUAACCAAAUUCCAACCAAGCUUCAUAUCUGGCAGGCGUGUAUCACAAGGAUAAUCAAAACUCUGCCACAAGAAGUUAUCAGGGUUGGUUUCAUUUCCAUCUUUCACAACAAGAUUUCCUGAAUCCAAGAGUUGCGAGACUGGAUUAUUCCCUGCGGUUCUUGAUGAAUUGGAUGACCAUACAGUGCCAUUUGAGCUAUUGAGAAGGACUAAAACUCCCUGAUCAGUUACCUUCAAAACUCCUGAAGAAUCAUCAAGUGGUAUUUCUCUGUUGGCCACCCAUACAACUGUCUCAGUAGAAAAAGUGUACCAUAUUCCCAAGUAUCUUCCUUUCACUUUACCGGGACUAAAGAAUCCCAGUUCAUAGCUUCCACCUGCUGAAAUCAGUGUUUGACCAUCUUUAACAAAUUGGUUUGGAGUAAUGGAGUCUAGUGCAUUUGAGGUUCUUAGGAAGGAAAACAAGAACAAGCACACAAAAAGAGUUUUCAUGGUUUGCAUAGAUGUUCUGAUCAGAAUGCUUAGGACAGAAAUAAAUGCACAAUACGUGCAGAGAAAUUGAAAUAUCUAAAAGAAGGAAAUAUCUAGCUUUAGAUCUCUCUGCCUAGAUUUGUUUAGUCUCUCCACUAAUCCUGUUUAAAGUAAGGCCUCAUUAGGCCCUACUGUUUCAUAAUGUAACAACCACACAGAAGUAUGGCAAACCUGGUUUAUCCAUUUUCUUGAAUUCCAAUCAACUUGAAGUUUAAUAUGCAGUAUGCCUGGUAUAUAUUUCUCCCCCCUUUUUUGUCUCUUUUCAAGUGUCUUUUCUUAAAGGGGGUAGUAUAAUGAUAUUUGGUAGAGUUGGGUGUCUUGAUUGACAUGCAUAGCGAUUUAAAACACAACAAAAACAAAAACAAAAAACUUAGACUGAAAAAAAGUCAUAAACUAACAGACAUGCAGUACACACCAAUGAAACUAGACGGCAGCUGAUUAGGAAAGGACAAUAUAUAUCCCACAAUCUCCGGAUUUGCAUUUGCAAUCAAAUUCAUCUGUAAACUUAGUUUUGAAAACUCGGUAGAAAGAAACUCAUAUAAACUAAUAUAUAUGCUGUUCAAAAGAAGUAGACUCGAUGAAUUUUAUGGCUGAUUAUGAAAUUGAUCUAUACAUACCAGAAGUGGAUCGAUGCCGACAAGCUGUACAAAUUCUUCCAAUAACUUCAUAGGACAAUGUUUAGGAAUUUGACUUCUUUCACUGGGGAUAUUGCCUGACCAACCACAAAGCAUGCAUUCAUCAUAGCAACAUCUGUAAAGAUUCAUUCUUCUGAAAAAACAAAAAAGAAACUGCUUUGAAGUUAGCUAGUAUCAAGCAAUACAAAAUCAUCUAAAUUUCAUCUGCAGUAAUGCAGUAUAUAAUUUCAGAAUUGCUGCAUCAUAUCACCAAUAGAUCUCAGACUAAAGGUUUGUUUGUUUCUAGAAUUGGUUGGCUUUGGCAUAUUAUAUCAUGCAUAUGAAAAACAUAAGAAAGUAGCAUAUCGACAUAACUGAUCAAAAGGGCGUGUCAGUUUGGGCUCCCUAGUUUCCUUCCACACUUGUGUCACAUUGCUUUCUCUCCUUGAUUAUCCUAAAUAACAAAAAUAACAAAUGAAAGAUUGAUCCUUAACACCUGAAAUUGAAAACCAACCUUCAAAACAUCAAGUUUCUCCCUCCAAAGGGUAUAAGAAGCCGAAACCAUUGAAGCCACAAGAAUCCAUGCUUCCAGAGCUACCCAAAUCAGUUUCUCAUCUCACAAGCCCAUUCCGUUCAAAAUUUGUUGUCAUUCUGGCGAAUCAAAUUCCCAUUGAGAACUUGAAGUAUUGUUCCCAACUUCCCAAACAGGCAUUGCAUGAUGGCUAACAUAUGAACGCCUAAAGUGAGCAUCAAUGUAUAAGUAUACCACAGUUUUAUUGAUGAAGGACUGAUUGAGAGCAACCGCACACCCGCCCUUACUUUGAAAAAAAGAAAAAGAAAAAAAGAACUACUCUAGUGUAAUAGUGUUGAGUAGACUAAGACCCAGUGUUCAAAAAGUAAUGAAUUGAGUAGACCUAGUGUUCAGGUCGGCCCAAUGCUUCAGCCUUUUUUUUGUGAACUGAUGUAUAAGUAUAACCCGAUAAAGAUCGGAUCUUGGGCUAAAACCGGGUUGAGAAGAAGAGAUUGUGUUCCACAAGCUGCCGGAGGGCGCGUGGAUAUGGAUAACAAAACAUGGUAGUGGACGGGGACUGUACUGCUGCCACUGGAAAACGGAGAGAAGCCAAAGUCAGUUACACAUGAAAAUCUAUAAUAUUUCUUCCAUUACCAAACUAGAAAACCAAAACCAGCAAACUGGUUCUUAAGCUGUGGAAGAUGAACCAACCAAUCACUCUUUGAACAAACACAACCCAACAACUGCUAUCCAGUGUAUGUUGAUCCCUUCCUCUUAGUUUCUCUUCAUUACUUCAUGUUCAAAUUUCCACUCUUUUGUUCCCUCUUUAUUGUUAUCCAUUUGUUUUCUGUUCAUGUGAAUAUAUGAUGAGGAAUUCUUGUUAGUGAUUAGUACUUGUAGUAAGGUGUUUUAGUUUCUAGUAGUUUCUUGGAUUAAGUUUCCAUGGCGAUUCUUAUAAACUCAGUGUCUCCUAUAACACACUCAUCACCAGAAACUGCUAGAAAGGGUUGUGGGUUCUUUUCCCACAUCAGGGUCCAGACUUUUUUACUCAACAAAGGCUUUUCUAGAGUUUUGGCAUCAACCCAGAUUACCAUUUCUCCAAAGGACACUGUUUUCACUUUGCCCAAUUGGAGAAAUCCUAAGAAUGAUAGAAGAAGUAGAGAAGUUAGGCUAAUAGAUGCCUUUCAGCAUUUAGAGUCUAUGACAGGGAAGGGCCAAAAGCCUGAUGUGGGCCAAGCAACUCAGCUCUUGUAUGAUCUGUGCAAGGCGAGUAAGAUGAGGAAGGCGAUGAGAGUGAUGGAAAUGAUGGUUGCUUCAGGCAUUAUACCUGAUGCAGCUUCAUAUACCUUCUUGGUGAACUAUUUGUGUAAAAGAGGGAAUAUUGGGUAUGCAAUGCAGUUGGUUGAGAAGAUGGAGGAGUAUGGAUAUCCAACGAAUACUAUUACUUACAAUUCGCUUGUUAGAGGGCUUUGUGUGAGAGGUAACUUGAAUAAAAGCUUGCAGCUUUUGGAUAAGCUGAUACACAAGGGGCUUGUCCCGAAUGUUUAUACUUACUCUUUCUUGAUUGAAGCGGCUUACAAGGAAAGAGGGGUCAACGAAGCAAUGAAGCUCCUGGAGGAAAUCAUUGCUAAAGGUGGAAAGCCUAAUUUGGUUAGUUACAAUGUCUUGUUGACUGGUUUGUGUAAGGAAGGCAGGAGUGAUGAGGCAAUGAAGUUCUUUAGGAGUUUGCCUUCGAUGGGACUCAGACCAAAUGUUGUGAGCUAUAACAUUGUACUGAGGAGCUUGUGUUAUGAAGGUAGGUGGGAAGAGGCGAAUGUGCUUUUAGCUGAGAUGGAUGGUGAGGAUCGGAUACCCUCCGUAGCUACGUAUAACAUCUUAAUCGGUUCUCUUUCUCUUCAUGGUAGAACAGAACAUGCGCUUGAAGUUUUGGAUGAAAUGGCAAAGAGUCGGUUCAAGCCUACUGCUGCAAGCUACAAUCCGAUAAUCGCUCGUCUCUGCAAAGAGGGGAAAGUGGAUCAUGUGGUUAAGUGUCUAGAUCAAAUGAUAUUCCAGCGAUGUAAUCGUAAUGAGGGAACAUUCAAUGCUAUUGCUGUGCUAUGUGAGCAAGGGAAGGUGCAACAAGCAUACUCUAUCAUCCAAAGCCUCGGGAAUAAACAGAAGUGCUCCACAACUGAGUUUUACAGAAACGUAAUCACAAGCUUGUGCAGGAAAGGAAAUACAUAUCCAGCAUUGCAGAUUUUAUAUGAAAUGACCAAGUAUCGUUUCACUCCAGAUUCUUAUACCUAUUCAUCUUUGAUCAGAGGGUUAUGUUUGGAGGGUAUGUUAAAUGAAGCAGUGGAGAUUUUCAAGGUCAUGGAGGAAAACAACCAAAGGCCUGAUACUGAGAAUUUCAAUGCCCUUUUACUCGGAAUUUGCAAAUGUCGAAGAACAGAUCUCGCCUUGCAGGUUUUUGAGAUGAUGAUUGAGAAAGGGCGAAUGCCUAAUGAAAUGACAUAUACCAUUCUCGUGGAAGGGCUUGCGCAUGAAAAGGAAAUGGAGCUGGCAACCGAAGUUUUGAGAGAGUUGCAGGGCAGACGGGUUAUGAGUCCAAAUACAGUGGAAAGACUAGUUAUGCAGUAUGACCUUGAGGAAAUACCACUGUAAAGAUAGGGGGAUAUUGUGAAGACCAAACCAGAUAAGGCUUUGAAAUCAGAUCCAGGGCGCUGUUCAACAUUUGAUAUAUACAUCAGAUGAAGGAGACACGAGAAGAAUAGGCAUUAUAUCAUGAAUAUUGAUAUAAUCAGACUACAGAACUGAGCGUGGAAGUGGAACUGUGGCACCAGAACAUUUGCUUACAGCUUCAAGCCAAUGACUGUUAAUUAUACACACAGCUUGUAUCCUUCCAAUUUUGUUCUGUUAAUCAAACCCAACACCUCUUUAUGUUCACCUUUCAUACCAGUUGAAGAAAAUUUAAACUGACCCUUGUCUAAUGGUAGCAACAAAUAAUGAAUCAUAAUUACAGAUGUGCUAGAUGACCAGUGGCUGUGAGAUGCGCAUUUCCUCAGUAGGAACAAAGAUUAAGCCAAGAACUGAAGGGAUUUACAUUGUAAACGAUAUAAAAUUAAGCCAAGAACUGAGUAGAUUUACAUUGUAAACGAUAUAAGGUCUCUAAGAAAGGGCACCUUAUUCAUAACUUUUGACAUUGAAAGAAUCUGAUAUUAAAUCCACAAGCAGAUAUUAUAUAAGGUCAAAGGGCACCUUAUUCAAAACUUUUGACAUUGAAAGAAUCUGAUAUGAUUAAAUCUUCAAGCAGAUAUUAGCUGAAGCCAAAUCAAAUCCCAUUCCACCAGAUGGAAAAACCAAAUUAAAUCCCAUUCUUCCAUUACUGGAUAGUAGAACAGCAGCCAUAACCUUGGGGUUUGGAACACAUAUUGUAACAACACAUUCUAAUUUUUUAUGAUCAAGCAUAACCUGAGAUGUUAAACAAUGACAGACCACUACUGUCCAGUUACCCGGUACAAGGGUAGAUAAGUGAAAAACUAGUGUCUGGUGUGUAAUAUCAGGUACAUGCCGGUCAAGCUUUAGCAGGAUUUGGGUGAUGGGUGUAAAAAAACACACAACACUAUGUACAUUAGCCAAAUCUCAAUCCCUACCCAUAUGUUUGAUAUAACAAUUCGCGUGCAAUCAAACUAGAUGGGAAACAAUUGGCAUGCAAUCAAACUAGAUGGGAAAAGAAUGUCAUGACAACAGCCCAGGACUGGGAUACCAACCUAGCAUAAUAAGCUUCCCACAGUUUCCAACUAGCAGCAUAAAAACUGAAAGAGAAGACAACAGAACAUGUUCUUUAAGUUUAGGCUGGUGAGCUAUUAAAAGAUCUAAACUUCAACAGUUCAUAAUCCUACCAACACCAACACCAAUCAGUGAGAAUAGUUGCAAAUAACAAAUCACAAAACAAGAGCUAUAAGAAGAACAAGCAAUCCAUAAUAUAUGAUUAAACAAAAGCUUCAGUAUCAUAAGAUCCAUGAACUAGUUCGACAAAAACUAAUAGAGCCAUUAAGUUCAAAACACAUAAUUCAAAGACACUGGAAAUUAACAACAUAACAUAAAGAUAGUCAUAAUCCCAAUCUACGAAGAGAAAGGAACUAAUCACUCAUAAACAUCCUAGAGGCUCCACGUCUACAAAAACUCCAGCAGAAGCUUUGGUGCAGAUUGAGAGACCCCAAAGGUGCCUACUUCGAUCUCUGCCUCAUCUUUCGGCGCUUCCUCUUCAACCUCCUCAUCCUCUUCUUCUUCCACUGCAACAGUUUCAAGCCACAAAAACCAAUCAGUAUCAAUUACUAUGAAAAUUUCAUUAUCAGAUUUAAGGGAACAUUUGGAUUUGAACGAAUCCGAACAAGAAGGUGACGAAGGGGUGUGAAGAAGAUACCUUGGCCCUCAUCUUGGGUGGGGAAAAGGUGCAGCUACUUCAAAACGACGGCGGAGCUCUCCCAAGGGUUUUGAUGUGCGUGACGAGUCUGAAGACCCUGAACCCUAAUGUGUCUGCCGCGUUUAUAUAUAUAGGCGUGGGCCUGGCUAUAUUGGGCUUUUAGCUGAAGAGAAAUAAGUGGGCAGUUUACUGAAUUCCUAGGCCCAAUUACUCAUAAACGGAUAAACCUCAGUAAAUACGUACGUUUAACCAAUGCACCACAUAGUUCUUUGAUCAAUUUUGUAGUCAGUUAUUACCGUUCAGUCGAAACUAACAACGGAGAAUAAAGAAGUUCCGAUGAUGUUAUUUCGCCUAUCAUUUUCCACCGUUGGCUCAAUUGAAAAACCUCGGUCGCAAUAGACAGACCCUUAACUCACAAUAAAAAAAAUUAAGGUAGACUGAUUGAGGUUUUCUUCGGUCGCAAUAAAUAAAACCCUCAACUCUAUACAAUAAAAAAAAUCAAGGCUCGUAAAGUCGGUGGAGAUUCGAUUGCUUAAUAUAUUAGUCUCAAAUCUCGAUAAUGUUAUGCUCCUCAGAAUAUUGGAACGAUACAUAGAUUAUUAACGAAUCCGAUUGUUACCAUCGCAUUACUCAUGCACUAAGAUUAGAUGCAAAAAAGGAUCCAUAUUUUAUGGUUUACAAAAUGGUGACCGGAUGAACUACCGCUCUGAAAUUAUCCAUAUUUUAAUUAGUAGGAAAAACAUAUUUUGAGGGAGAUAAUCUGAAAAAUAAUCAUAUGAAGCCCAACUAAAUCCUAUGCUUAAACAUCAAUAUCUACUCCCAACGUUUGGUACACGAAGAAGCUGACAAAACUGAACUGAAAGUCUGAAACAAAACCAACACUUCCAGAGUUCGUUAGACUGAAAUCCAAACGAGUCCGAUCAGAUGGAAAACGGAGACAACCACGGCGAGGCAUCGUACCCAAAUGCCGACCAGACCAAAAUCGAGAACAAGAAGACAACAACAGCGGAAUCAUCGGAGGCUUUGGCAAAGGGACUGUCUUCGACCCUCGCCGCCAUCAUUAAAGACUUCGAUUCCAAAGCCCAGCAGACCUUCACCAGCCAAGACCAGCUCUCUCAAGCCCUCGAUCGCCUCACCCGCGGUAACUAAGUAACUUAUUAUUUUGUUUUGGGGUAAUUUUGAUUGUUAUUUACUGAGAUGGUGUUUGGUGGGCAGAGCUGGAUAAGUUGUUGGAAGAUGCUCCGAUGCCGUUUAUAAUGCAACACGCGGCGAAGAUCACGGCGGUUAGGAAGAGGGUUUUGUCUCUUAACUCGGUUUUGAAGAAUGUUCAACGCCGUCUUGACAAUAUAGACCGCAUGUUAACUGUUGGAGUUCCACAUCCUAAUCAACAUGGUAUGUUGUGCCUUUUUGUGUUUAGUUUUCACUCUAGGAGUAGAUUAGUGCUAAAAAUCUAACUACUGUGGUUUUCUAUAUUGCCGAAUGUUGCUAAAAGUAGUAAACUUCACAGUAGAAUGUCAAUUGUUACAAUAAGAGUUGAGUAGUUUGUGUAGCUUCCAAAGUGUCUAAGUUUAGCUGAAUUGAGUUUGCAAAGGACUAACAAGUUACCCUUGUGAUGGAAUGAAAGAGACAUAGGUCAUACAGAUGUGAACUCCUCGCAGUUUGCGGUGAUUGAUAUAGUGUGAUAUGUAGUUAUAAGUGCAUUGUUCUUCUUGCUUUCAAAACUACUCUCUAAAAGCAAUUUAUGUGUGAUAUCAAUGUGCCUAACGAUCAUUCACUAGGAGAAGUUUGGGAGUUCUAUAUUAAGCAAUCAAUGUUUUGGCAUUGCUUGGGUCUGACAUUGUAGCCUUGUUGUUUAUGUACUUAACUAUGGUUUUGAAUGAGUGGCUAAAAGUGAAUUGCCGAAGCUUCUGUGUGUGUAUGUGAUGACUGAAUUUGAAAGGUCUAGGGACCUAAUGAAUUAUUUAGUAUAUGUAGAGCAUUAACAUUCUAUUUAUACACUUUUUUAGGCUUCAAAAUUGAAUCUUGCUGUACAUAACAUAGUGACUAAUGCAUCUGAAGUCAUAUUUGCAGAUAAGACGAACACUGAACAUUCAGGACUGCAUUAACACUGUUGUGUAUUGGAGGUAAGACACAUGUCUUCUUGUUAUGAAAAAGAGAACCACAAACUGUAAACUAGAACUCUGCAAAUAAUAACAUUUUGUUCUAUAUGCCAAGAAUCAUCAGUAAGUUUUAGAAUGUAGAAUGUUCGAAUACUGCCAGUGGCUCAACAGAUAAUGAUGGAUACAGUUGUUUAUAGAGCUUGUUAGAUGAUAAACCUUCUGCUAUAAUGUCUGCAAAAAGUACAAUCAGAAACUGCAGUUCUCAAUCAUAAACAAAGUGACAGACUAAAUAAAACCAUGUCCAGUCUCUUAUGGAAAAUAGAAAUUAAGUUUCUGACGUUAUCAAAGUUUUUGUUAUUAAUUUCAACAAGACUCUCUUGAUCUAUAUCUUCUUUUAACUGAUUGAUGGUUUCAUCUUAGUUUCUCAACAGUCAAUCUCCAGAAAAGAUCUAGCACAGUAUCGGGAUUGCAGGGGACAACCUUAUAGUUUUGGGUCCGUCAGUCAACCAAUUGAAGAAUUUUGCCAUCUUUGGCCGAAGCUCAUUGAGGAGUUUAAAAACCACAAGGACGCUCCAUCAUUUGACACAUUGAUGUUACCUGAAAGUCAGAAUCGCUGAAGAGUAAUUAAGGAGAAUAUUUGACAGUCUAGUGUAACUAUGGACAUUGAGUGGGUAGAUAUUUGGCGUUCUGAAUGUUGAAUGGCAGUAGUUUGUGCAGAUGGCAAAUGAGAGAUAACUGUUUCUGGAAUCCUAGUUUAGCAUUAUUUGAUUUUCCAACAUUUGAGCUGAUAUGAUCACUUAGAUAUAUGUACAUUUGUAUUUUGCUAUUGCAAGGUUUUUUGGGGUAAAAAAUGUCAAUGAGAUGUUGGUGUGAUAGAUUUCUGGAUUUCAUGCUGCCACCAAGUCACCAACUCCAUCUGAUUCAUUACAGGCUCAAAUGAAAUCUGCUCAAACAUCAUGACACUAUAAAUUCAUUCUACUCAAAUAUAUGUGAGCAAAUUUACUGAUUGCAAUGUGAAAAAAACAAAAAUAAUUCGGAUUGAGCCAUAAGUAUUGGGCCGCAAUAAAUGAUAGAUUAUAAAAGGCCCAAAACAACAUUGUAAACCCUAGUCUCUCACCCUUAUAAAUACCGGGGUUCUCAUUCUUCUUCUCUCAUCUUCUUUUUGUAUUUUGGAGUCUGCUGCUGUUUUGUUCAUUGCUUCAUAGAUUCAUAUGAUUACAACUAGGAAAGUGAUGAGAAGUUUUGUCGCCCCAGUCUUACCCGCAUCAUAAAAAUUGUUGCUUGGUGGUGAUUGACUCUUUUUCUGAUUCCUCUUCUUCAAGUUUUUCUUUUCUUCUUUCAAGUUUCUGGUAUUUGAAUACAAAAUCGCAAGGAUGUGUAGGAGAUAUGAUGAUGAAUAUCCCAUUGUUCCAUCACUGAAUUCAACUUUGAUGACAAAUCAACCAAAUUACAUGCACUACCAUCUGAUCUCUUGCUUCAAAAUCCUUGCUUCUUUUUCUUUUGGAUUGUGUUCUUGUGUAAUUUCUAAAGCCCAGUGGUAUCUGAUGCACAGAUUUAUUGUUGUGGCUGAGCAUUUCGUUAAACCUGGGCCAAAUCGAUUUCCAAAACAGGUCUUGCGACACAGUUUGCUUUUGUUUAUUCCAUGAGCACUCUGUUACUUAAUCCCUGCUUACAUUCCUCUUUCCAUUUCAUUCCCAAUUGAAAUUGACAUACAGACUGAUUAAGAAUUGGGUUUCUAGAUAAUUGGUACAAAUGAUAAUAGAAGAUGGAACUGAACACCCAUCAGAUUUUGGAUUCAAGAUUUGAGCUUUGAGUUUCACAAACUCAACCCAGCUGUGUCAAAAUAAUUUAUUGAACUAUAAAAUUGGAACAUUAAGCAAAUUUCAAUUCGAUUUUGGGUCUAUAAACUUAUGCAACAAUCUCAGUACGUUAUCAUUGAGAGACAGAAGAGUAGCAGGAUGCUUGGAGUUGUAAGUGUUAUCUCAUAUUGUAAGUCCAUGUUCAUCAUGAACCUUCCAAGAUUAGAACUUUGGACAAAGCAAUAUUUUCUGAUUCUAUGUUUCUAUUAAACCCAAUAAUAUCAAAUCAACUUUCUCAGGAUUUGUUCCUUAACUCUAUCUCCAAUGCUUGUUUCUAUGGCCAAAUAAGAUAUUUGGGUAACUACCAACCAAACACAACUUACAAGCUAUUAAUCACCCAAAGAACUAAAGUUGGGUUUUGGGUGACAUUCAUACUAAGAUCCUAGGACACAGCUUAUCGUGUUCAUAUGAGUUCAUAUGAUGAAGCGGAUAGUCUAAAGACUGAGAAAAGUUGCGGAGGAAGUUUUUUGAGAACUGUUAGCAACAUAUUAUUCUUAUUUUUGUCGCCGUGAUAUUCUAAUUAAGUUUCCACCACUCACCUCGAUUCUACUGUUCUUAUGUCAUUGCCGGAACAACAAUAAUUUCUAUGGAAAUAGCAGAAGCAGCGAGCAAGGGGGCAAGCAGACAAGUGCCUGCCUAAUAUGGCAAAAUAUAUAGCUAUUUCACCAUUAGCAAAAAAAAAAAAAAAUAAAUAUAUAUAUAUAUAUAUAUAUAUAUGAAAGAGAGCUACUGAUCGAUGUGUUAUUAAUAAUUUAUUAUCGUUAAUUUUACGGAGGUAAAAGAUCCACGUGAAAAUCCAGAAAGAAAAUGACAGCAAAAACAAAAAGAGGGCACAUAAAAACAAAGGAUUACAAAUCAAGUCAGUCGUCGUCUCUCUCCAGAGGGCCUGGUCUGGUUUUCUCUGAGGAGACCUGAUUGGAUACAUCUGUGAUGCCCCUGAGGCUAGCUUUAGCCCUAGCUCCUUCCUCUCUUCUCCCAAUAUGGUCAAAUCUGCUACUGCAGCUUUUCCCCUAGCCUGCUUCCCAGUACAGAUUUUCUAGAAUAACACAUCCAAUCAACAAAUUCAUUCACAUAGGUAGAUGAGUAGUACGUACUUGUAUGCCCUCGGGCUCAACAGUAAUCAUAGAUGAGUAUGGGUAGUUUUGUGGUUCGUGUGAGAGCUAGCAUCGCUACCACAUUAUUAGUCUCCGAACUCACUGAGGUAAAUCAUAUUUUGGGAAACCAUAUACAGUAUUUAUGAACGUAGAAGUUCGUCGAAUAAUGGUAAGUUAAUGUUAAUCACCGAUCACAAACACGAAUCUGUUGUUUAUGCAUUUGGCAUCGAUGUAUUGUUGAAUUUUGAACAUCAAUGUGUUAGCCAAAUCGUGUGGUUUGUGAUGAUAAUUGGCAGUCUGCCUCAUCAACCAACUUUCACCAUUGAGUCUGAGGUUAUAGUUCUAGUGUACUGAGAGCAUUUUACGUAUUAGAUAGGUUGAACUACAGAUACAGUAUCUGUGAUCGGACGUACUUAACAACAAUUGAUGAAACAUCUGUAACUUUGUUUGAACAGGUCUGUAGUGAAAAAUUUGUUCGUUUUAUGUAGCAUUUUUGUUUUACAUUCAAUCAUAUAUGUUUGGUUGGAUCCACAUGAACAGAUUUCUUCUUUUUGGGAAGAUGAACAGUUGAUGCUGGCAUGGGCAUGCGUGAGAUGCCAAUUAUUGGUACUAUCCCAGUCAAUGAAACUUCACCAUCCUAAAAUUAUCAUAUACUGUGGAAGGACAAGAAAUCUACAAGCAAUUGGAUUCUAAAAGAUGAAAUUUCACCAUCGAUGGUGAAGAUAUAAGUACACUCUUUUACCCGUGCCUGUCUGCCAAACAGACCAUUAAUUGGUCAUGCCAUUGCUUCAAACGUUUUGGACAUGAACAAAUGGCAAAUAGUGAGCUUCUGUUUACUCAGCAAUCCAAACUAUUUAGUAGAAUUGAGGAAAAGCUGCACUUUUUUUUUNUUUUUUUAAGACUGAAUUGAUAUAUUGAAUAGAUUUAAUCGAUAAAACUCAUACAACCAUACAAGGUCAGGCAUAAGGUGUUCAGAAACAACCCUUACAAUUGAUGCUCAAAUAUGCAUUGCUACAAUCAUAAAAGAACUGUAAAAAACUAGGUCCAAAGCGACGGACACCAAAACUACAAAGACGGAGUCCAAAAAUGAGGACACAAAAACUAGAAAGCAAGUAAGCAAAUAAAAUACCCUUGCACUACCCACUACCCUAUGCAAAAACACAAAUGGUGUACAUCUCUAUUGAAAAACACAAGCAAAAGUCGUGGAUUAGGGAAAUGCUAGGGUUGUAACCUAACCAUUUAAGAUCCGCCCCAAGGUCCGACACACAUACCGCUCCGACACCACAAGAUCCAACAUCGUAGACUCAUAAAUCAGCACACUUACCACCUGUUUAGGACUGGUGCUGCUUCCAUAACGACGACCACGCUUCUUCCCUAAACCACAAGACACACUUGGAGCCAUUGUCAUCAUUCCUUCUUCAUUGAGCAGAAAACCUACAUCCUCCGGUGUAAGUCCAACCGACAUGAUAGCCAAACAAUGCUUAGCUCUCUUUCCAGCAUCCUUCGUCUCCUCUUCUCGACCACGACGCACCUUAGAGAUUUUCGCCGGCUAUCGCAUGUCUAAAAUAAACCAGAUUGAAACACUCAUCUUCUCCUUUGGAAACCAGGGAGGGAGGGUAUAGAUGCAUAUGCCUAAACAACCAACAGGGCAGUGGGCAUAUCUCUAAAAGUGACAAAAAAUAGAGAUCCCUCAUUAGAAUAUAUAUGAGCCCUUCAAAUGAGGGAUUCCUAUUUUUGUGACUUUUAGAGAUAUGCCCACACCAUUAGAUCUAUUUUUUAAUGGGUUUUGAUAACUGAGAUUAAAACAAAAAACUUAACACUUAUGUCAAACAUACACCGUUCAAGAUCAUUAAAAAUAAAUCAAACAUUUUGAUGACUUAACGAUCACCAAAUAUUGUGAAAAUUUACAGAAGUGAUCUACUCAUAUACACCUACAAAUUGAACGGUGGAGAUGUGAUUUAGUGAUCGGGAAGAAAUAAACAAAAAAAAGGAAUCUCUCAUUGGAAUGGUCAUGUGUGUGUGUGUAUAUAUAUAUAUACAGAGAGGAUGUGAAGCGGAUGUCCGCACUCCGGCUUAAAGUGCGGACAUCGUCUGUUCUCCGCCGUCUCACGCCGACGACGGCUUCUCUCCUUCCCGGACGACAGCACAGGCUUCCAGGACGGCUUCUCUCCUUCCAGGACUGCCCGGCGACAAGUUUUCCGGCCAACCUUGAUCAAUCAUGGUGUUUUCCGUAGCUUCAAUCCGGUCGGAAAACUUGUCGCCGGCCAGUCUUGGAAGGAGAGAAACCGUCCUGAAGCCUGUGCUGUCGUCCGGGAAGGAGAGAAGCCGUCGCCGGCGUGAGACGGCGGAGAACAGACAACGUCCGCACUUUAAGCCGGAGUGCGGACGUCCGCUUCACAUCCUCUCUGUGUGUAUAUAUAUACAAUGCUGAUCAGGUGCGGACGUCCGCACCAAAGUUUUGGUGCGGAUUUCCAUUUUUGCACCACUUCCCGAUCGAAUUUCCUCAAACUUCCUUCUAGAUCAUCUCUGCAAAAUUUCAGCCAAUUUGGUGAUUGUUAAGGCCCUCAAACUCGAAAAACAAAUGGACGGACUGAAUUCUGUUCGGUUGUGUUCAUACCAGAAAAACUCGAGUUUGAGGGCCUUAACGAUNNNNNNNNNNNNNNNNNNNNNNNNNNNNNNNNNNNNNNNNNNNNNNNNNNNNNNNNNNNNNNNNNNNNNNNNNNNNNNNNNNNNNNNNNNNNNNNNNNNNNNNNNNNNNNNNNNNNNNNNNNNNNNNNNNNNNNNNNNNNNNNNNNNNNNNNNNNNNNNNNNNNNNNNNNNNNNNNNNNNNNNNNNNNNNNNNNNNNNNNNNNNNNNNNNNNNNNNNNNNNNNNNNNNNNNNNNNNNNNNNNNNNNNNNNNNNNNNNNNNNNNNNNNNNNNNNNNNNNNNNNNNNNNNNNNNNNNNNNNNNNNNNNNNNNNNNNNNNNNNNNNNNNNNNNNNNNNNNNNNNNNNNNNNNNNNNNNNNNNNNNNNNNNNNNNNNNNNNNNNNNNNNNNNNNNNNNNNNNNNNNNNNNNNNNNNNNNNNNNNNNNNNNNNNNNNNNNNNNNNNNNNNNNNNNNNNNNNNNNNNNNNNNNNNNNNNNNNNNNNNNNNNNNNNNNNNNNNNNNNNNNNNNNNNNNNNNNNNNNNNNNNNNNNNNNNNNNNNNNNNNNNNNNNNNNNNNNNNNNNNNNNNNNNNNNNNNNNNNNNNNNNNNNNNNNNNNNNNNNNNAAAAAAAAAAAAAAAAAAACGAAACAUGAAUAUUAUGCAGUCUGAUAUUACGAUCAAAAUUAUUCAUCUUCUGAGUUAUUAUAUUGAUGUUCGUUAUAAGCUUCUUGAUGAACCUUCUAUCUAUCCAAUUGAACACCAUAUAUUCUCAAGUUAACUCAUUUCCCAUAUGUUGUAUGUCACUUCCAAAUUAAUUUGGUAACCCAACCUAGCUAGCUAGAAUAGCAGAAUGCCUGCCUGGUGGGGGUGUGUGGAGGGGAGAGAGGAGGGCGGGGGGUCCGGGGCAUCUGUUUUUUUCUUGGUACACUUGGUUAGCUAGCUGCAGCCUGCAGGUAACCCUUCAAUUCCUGGUGAAAAUCAUUUAAUGGGGUUUUAAGUUUUAAACAAUUGCCAAAAAUAUUGGGACUGUGUGACUGAGACUAGUCAAUUGCCCUAUGAAACAAUUCAGGACUACCCUAAUAGCAGUAUAGCACAAUCAUAGGAGUGCAGAGGGCAUCAAUGCCGCAUCAUAUAUGGUUCAAACGGAGGUCUUCCGUUAUUAUUUUCACCAGCAAUGUGUGUGAUCCACAAUCCGGAAUGAACUGAUCAGAAAGCUUGCACUAAAAAAAUCCCUGUUAUAAACUUGCUCAUCUGAGUUUCAUUAUUGUAAGUAUUGCUCCAUUUCUAGCCGGAGAUUUGAACCAACUGCUCCCUUGGUCCCUUCUGUAUCGAUAUUUUCCUCACUCGGCUUUAAUGGUUUUUCUCACUUUGUCUUUCUCUGACUCCAUAGCAAAGCCCUCUUCCUUAUCUGAAAGCCAUACCAGAAAGAAAAUGAUUAAAGAGGUGUGCUUUUUGUUUGUUGAAGAAAUUAAAUUAUCGAGCAACGACACUUUAAUUCGAGGCAUGGCUUUAGUUUUGUUGGGCACUGUAGUAGGGUUUUGAUCAGAAUCUCAGACACUCAACAGGUACAAAUCAUUACUGCGAAUCCUGUUGGAGGACAAAGACACUGCCAGAAAGUUUUAUAAAACAAAGAAACAGUAAUUAAUAUAAGAACUUGAAUAUAUAUUUUUCUUUGUUGAUUCGAAUGCCGCCAUCUCUGUGAGCAUCCCAGCCAGCUGAGAGAAAAGAAUUCCAUUAGGGUUGCAUGUGAUAUUUUUCCUGUGUGUGUGUAUCAGACAAAGCAUGAGAGAAUUGAUGCCUCUCAAGUAUCAAACAUGAAAAGAAGAGAGAGCUGGAAGGAGUAGGAUUAUAAUAUAGCAAGAGGGAUAGGGCUUGGAAGUGAUGUUGAUUCGAUGGAAUCGAUGGUUUCUAUUAACCGGUAGUUGUUAGGGAUCAAUCGGUGGUUUCAAGAAGUCACCUUACCUCGUAAAGUAAAACCAGCUAGUUAGUAACCGUUUGCGCUGGCUAGCUAGCUAUAUCAGGGUUUAGGGUUUAGGUUCACGGUUCAGGGUUCAGGCAACCAGUUUGACUCAGUAGCACGAAAGCGGAUUUCCCACGAAAGCUAGCUAGAUGAUCGAUCUAUGUAAAGCCAGCAAGUUUUGCAGUGAUGGAAAUCCAAAGGGAAGAAAGAAUUUUUUAGGUGGUAGAUUUCUAUACCAGUCGGUUUGACGACUCGUGGAGAUGAUGGCAUGGCAACCACUUGUGCUCCAACCAGAAUGAAUACAACCCACUUAACUUGGGGUUGAUGCCUUCUAGGGUUGAUCCAUUCAAGAAUCUGUUGGGAUUUCUUCAAGAAAUUACCAAGUUCUAGUUAACUUUAAGUUGACCACUUUCUAGUUUUUACAAAGAGGAAUUAUUACCUUUUGAGUUAACUAACUAAAAAGGGGACACACUAAAUUGUAAAUUGAAAUAUGAUUGCGCGCACUAGGUAGGAAAGUCUCUCCAAACUCCGAACGAAAAUAAAAAAUAAAAAACAAACAAAUAAAAAACUCACACACAAACACAUAUAACAAAGAUAUGUGUGAAAGUUCUUCAGUGCACCCUGGUUCAAGUGAACCAGUAGUGACUGAUCAAUCAUAACAAUUUAUUUAAUCCAGUUAAUUACAUGACACUAAUAUCGAUGUUAAGGCAGUUAAAAAGAAUAGAGACAAAAAACACAAUUAACUGAGUAAAAACACUAAGGCCUCGUUUGGUUCACGGAAAGGAAAUUAGUUCAUUUGUCUUUCCCACGAGAAGGGAAAGAGAAGGAAAAUUAAAUUUUCCGAUGACUUUCCAUUCCGAUGUUUGGUAACACAAGAAAAAUCAUCCGGAAAAAUUGUUUAUUAAUGUGAGUAAUAAAUGCAAGGAAAUAAGAUAAGAAAGUGGUUCCUAUGAAUUUUGGAAGGAACAACUUUUCCUCACAUUUUCCCAACCUUCAGGAAAAUAUUUCAUUUUCUUCAGCAUUCCUGAACGGACUUGCUCGGUCACAACCAAGUUAUGUUAACACAUGUGGGACCCAUAUAAGUGGUUCAAGUGCACCACGGUGCACUGAAUUCGUUUCGGAGGUUUGUGUAUCAAUCCCAUGUAUAUAUCAAACGGUUUAUCAAAUUGAAACCCUGCUACACCUGGUAAUUUUUAUUAUUCUUACUAAAAAAAAAAAUUUAUCAAAUUGGUCAGUAUACCCGGUAAAAUUUAUAAGUUAUUUUAGAGCACUCAUUUAUUGCUUUCUCUUGCAUCUGAUUGAAAAGUAGCCAAAUGUACCUUGGCGAUUGAGCACUCAUUUAUCUUAGUAAUUGUGGUGAGACUAGGUUUUAGUCGACAAAGUAGUGUUCACAUGGUCAGUCGUUGAUCAAGAGAUUCAUGGUCUGCCACCAUUAGAUUUACAUUUAAAGGUUGAAAACAAAAUAACUUUACUUAAAAAUAAUUAUCAUCACCCUUAGAUUUAAAUCUAAUGGUGACUAACCAUAAAUCUCUUAGUCGGUCACUUACUAGGUAAACAUGACUUUUAGUCGACAAGUGUUUUAGAUUGAACAAGUAAGCUCUGAUAUAGUGAGUUUUAUUUAUUUAAAUACUAGCCAACUGAUUUAAUGCAAAAUUAUACAUUGUAUAACUAAGAAGGACGUAUGAAAUCGAUUCACGGACAUGAGUUGACUCUGUUUUUGUGAUUACAAAACAGCCAUGGAGGUCUCAAGCUUAUAGCCUUCAAGCCUAAAAGUGAAAUAGAACAACAGCAGAUACGGUGAUGUGACCUCAACUAAGUUCAAAUGCCCCCACACUAUACAUGAACAUGAACAAGAGCUCCAACGAUAAGGAUUUCGAAUAUUUCCAAGCCAACCAGAGGCCAAACCCACCAUCAACUUCUGGCCCUCCCCUCUCUUUCUCCCUCCUUCCCUCCCUCUACCCUACACUGGAGCCUGGAGGAUCCCCACCCUACAGUCCCUCAGUCGCUCUCUCUUGUAUAUCUUUCUGACGAUCUGCAAGUGCAGCUCAGCAAAGGGGGACUGGGAGAUGGGGAAUCUAUUCAGAGCUCUCUCUCUCUCUCUCUAUCUCUCUGUGCAUUACCACGUUCUUGAAACUUUCUUUUCAUUCUUGAAUUUGCAGUUCUGUAAAUUUUCUUAUUGGGGCUUGCUAUUCCCACAACUUUCGACUCUAGGUUUUUUCUUUUCACCAAAAAGUGAGUCCUGGAUUUGUCGGUUUAGGGCAACUGUAAAAAUAUUCAUAGCUUCCCAUGAUCCCAUCGAAUCAAUGUCCUGGGACUAUUACCAAUACAUGAUAUACAUCCCAUCAUUUCUGUGUUGAAUGGGGCAUGAGUAAAAGAAAGAACUACAUCGCAACUACUUCCGAGCAUUUGAUAGAAGUCACAGUUUACUAAGAGGGAUGGGGAAGAACCGCAGGACUCGUUAUUACUGGAUGAUACUAUUGUCAAGGUCUAUUGUCAAUGAGAAUCAACCAUUCGGACAAGAACUUCUGUUAUCAUAUAGGAGUGUUUCUGUAGAUCUAAAGGGUGCUAGAGAAUAUUUUCAUUUCCUUUCCAUUCUGCAAUGAUGGAAACUCUUUGGGAGUCUUAUUUCAAGUUAGCCAGUUAGGUAUCUGUCACUAAAUAAAGAUAUGUUUGACACAUUUACUUAGUUCAAACAUUGACGAUAAUAUAACAAAUGAAUCUCUAAUCCAUACACAAUAUGAGCUUUACAUGACAUAAGACAAAACACAAUCCGACGUUUUUUAAAUUCUAUUUACAAACUAGCUCUUUUACAUUGUAGACGAACAUCUCAUGUAACACAAUUUUUUAUUCAAUGGUUUGAUAUAUAUAUAUAUAUAUAUAUAUAUAUAUAUAUAUAUAUGUAUAUAUAGAGGGUAGCGGCUGCCUCGUAAGUCUCUCUGAUGAUCACCUUCAAACAAAAAAGCGAUCACCACUACAGGCAACCCCAAUUCCCAAAUGAGAACCUGAAGUUUAUAUAUAUGUAUGAUCGAUUCUGCGAGAGAAUAACCAACGAACUCUUGCAACAAAUAUGCAUUCUGAUUCUUAGCUCUAUACCACUCUUUACCAAAUGACUCUCUCUGCCUAACUAAAUUGAGCUCGAAGUCGACUAUCCUUGAAGCUAGCCUUCUCCAUCUCAUAGGCCGGCACGGGCGAGCUAGAAGUCAAAUUUCAAGAACUGUAUGUGGUGGGAUAUCACAAAUCAACUGGUAUAAGAGUAAUCUUCCAAUUCAGAAAGAAUUUGGAGUCUCAAACAUGAUACAUGACACGGUGAAAGCGAUUCAACUGCAAAAAGAGACUUGCCCCGAUCAAAUCGACAUUGAUGGAUCGUCGAAGUUAGGUCGACUUUAGUAUUGAUCGUUUUGUUAUAUAUGGCCGGCCUAGCCUACAUAGCUUUCAAGCUACUGCACAAUAGCUCGGCAACCUUUGUCAUCAUUAUACCAAGUCAAAUGAUGGUGGGGAAUCGUAAAUCUACUCAUAAGGUCGAUCAUCCAAUCUUAAGAAACAAUUAUUGGAGUUUUACAAUGAUUUCAGAUAUCAAGGAUUGGAAGAGGACGAGAACAGGCAUUGCAAUAUAUUUCAUCGGCCCGGAAAAUAGGGGUUCCGAUCGUUCCGUCGAAGAAUUAUGGCCGGGUAAUGUUUUGGCCUUAAUCGACAACUCAUGAAGUCAUGAUCCUAUCAAUGUAAUACUAUUUUGAGUUUCUUUGGCAUGGAUCGGGUGUUUGUCUUCCGAAAAAGAAAUGAAAACAAGUUUUCAAACACUACGAAAUUUAGGGCUCAUGAGCAUUUUCUAUUUAUAUGAGCGGUGGGAGAUCAACCUACUAGAUUGAGUGUACGUGUGUUCUAACUUGUAAGAUUAGGGUGUUCAACUUCUUUUUCGAAUCCGACAUCUAUCUCCAAAGAACAUUACAAAAGAUUUAGAUGCAUGAUAUUCACAAAUCAAUAGGGCAGGGUGGGAACGGUGAUGACUGAUGACACUCACUUGACUCACUUCUAUCCCGGACUCUCCUCGUUUCUUAGUUUACAACACCCAUCUGAGGUCUCAAAGAUCAUCAUACCAUUAGUAAAGGAAUUAAGACUGGAACUAUAUGUAUAGUAAUCUUAACUCAAACAGUAUAACCUACAAGUUACAACGUACUUGAAGGUUUCAUGGACGGAUGGACAUACUCACAUAUCGAUGAUGUUUGAAUAUGUACAAUCACGGCCACUAUUUGCCGUCAAUCCGUCGUAGAGAUCUCCGACGCGGUUCUUAAUAUGACGGCGACAGGCCAGACGUCAAGUGCAAACGACUAGCUUAUUGACGUCGCAACUCUUUACAUCACCCGGGACUGCGUUCGUGACUAUUAAUUAGACUUAGUUUUCUCAUUUCCAUAAUCUUUUUUUAUGAAAAAGAGAAACAAAAUCCUUUACAUAUUUAACAUUAUACUAUUUUCUGUCGUACUGUUUUACUGUUUAAAGUACUGUUAAGGCAACUGUUCAAAUAGAACAAUUUUGGGCUUGGGUCUGUAUCUUUGGGCCUCGGUCUUUUGGUCUAUAUCUUUGGGCUUCGGUCUGUAUAUCUCUCUCGAUCUCUCUCGAUCUUUCUCGCCGCUUUGCAUAUCUUUUUUGUCUUGGUUUGUCAAGACUUGAUAUCUCUCUCUCUCUCUCUCUCUCAUCACUCCGGCUCUCUCUCUGUUGAAUUCCUCUGCUUCAAGAAUCUCUCUCCUGCAUAUCACGUCAACACCUGAUCUCUCUCUCUCUCUAUCGAAUCAUUCCGGUUCUCUCUCUCUCUCGAAUCUCAACAAAGUUUCUUGAUCCAAAUCCGGCCAAAAUCUCAAAGUCGUCUUCAUUGCUCCGUUAUAGGUCUUAAAUUUACAACCCAAGCAAGACAUCGAGUACUUUUGAGGUAAUUUUUCUUUCUUUGAUAUUCGUCAAUCGUCGUCUUAUUUUUUUGGUAUGAUCCUUCUAUCUCGUUAUAGACGCAUUUUCCUUACGAAAAACCAAGACAAAGAACAGAAUAAUUCCUUCCUAAAUCGUUUUGGAGCAUCCCUUAACAAGCCUAGUGACAAGCUCCCACUCUAUAUAUAUUAAACCAGAAAGCCCUCUCAAUCAAAUCAGAUGGGGAAGGAAGUUCGUUACAAAUUAGAAUGCCGUAGGAGAACUCUACGAGGUCCCAUUCCGAUCUUGACCCAACUAAAGGGGGGAGACAAAGAACAUUCAUUUAAUCAAAAGCUCAUCUUUCACAUAAAGUUGUGACAAAAUUAUAUAUUAGACGUAAUUGCAUGUAACGUGUUUAACUACUUCGACCUUUUCAAGCCUAAUCAUGGAUCAUAUCUCCCAUGUGGUCCACCGACCCCAUUUCUAUUAAUUCCCACUUUAUUAUUAUUAACCCCCCAAAAAAACAAAAACCAUCCCUGACACCCAAGAAAAUAAAAAAAUUAAACUUUUUUAGAAUUAUAUAAAAAAUAAAUUAAAUUAAAAAUUACUCCACACAGAGCUGGCUCUGGCUCUCUGCCGCUGGCGCCUCUGUUUGAAUCUUGGCAGCAUUUCCAAAAACCCUCAGUUUUUUAAAAAUAAAACUAAAAAUAAUAACACAUGGAUAAGCUCAAACAAUUUGAUGCUAUUUCAUUACCCGUACACGCGCAGGUCAAGCGCGUGCCCCACAUUCGUCACGGUCACAGACUCACAUAGAAUGGCCAUGGCCCAUGGAUGACGAAGAAGAAGAUGAGGACAAAUAUAACUACAUUAUCAGAAACUGGCCGCAUAUUUACAUUACACCAAAAAAAAAAANAANNNN